This 782-nucleotide ribosomal RNA is filed under the name Clostridioides difficile. Its description in RNAcentral is "partial 23S ribosomal RNA". It matches the Rfam family "Bacterial large subunit ribosomal RNA", at positions 803 to 1589 of the family's 2925-position model. Lineage: Bacteria; Bacillati; Bacillota; Clostridia; Peptostreptococcales; Peptostreptococcaceae. The record is from RNAcentral.
GAUGACUUGUGGGUAGCGGUGAAAUUCCAAUCGAGCCCGGAGAUAGCUGGUUCUCCCCGAAAUAGCUUUAGGGCUAGCCUCAAGGUGAGAGAUACGGAGGUAGAGCACUGAAUGUCCUAGGGGGUAUUGCACCUACCGAAGACUAUCAAACUCCGAAUGCCGUCAUCUUAUACUUGGGAGUCAGACUGUGGGUGAUAAGAUUCAUAGUCGAAAGGGCAACAGCCCAGAUCGUCAGCUAAGGUCCCUAAAUGUAAGUUAAGUGGUAAAGGAUGUGGGAUUGCACAGACAACCAGGAUGUUGGCUUAGAAGCAGCCACUCAUUCAAAGAGUGCGUAAUAGCUCACUGGUCGAGUGAUCCUGCGCCGAAGAUUUCCGGGGCUAAAACUUACUACCGAAGCUACGGCAUCAGUAAUGAUGGGUAGGGGAGCUUCCCAUACGGGUUGAAGCAUGACCGUAAGGACAUGUGGACAGUAUGGGAGUGAGAAUGUUGGCAUGAGUAGCGAGAUGUGGGUGAGAAUCCCACAGGCCGUAAACCCAAGGUUUCCAGGGGAAGGUUCGUCCGCCCUGGGUUAGUCGGGACCUAAGCUGAGGCCGAAAGGCGUAGGUGAUGGACAACAGGUUGAUAUUCCUGUACUACCGAUAACCGUUUGAGAGAAGGGAUGACACAGUAGGAUAAGCUAAGCACACUGUUGGUUAUGUGUGCCCAAGCAUUGAGGCAGUCAAAGUAGGCAAAUCCGCUUUGAUAAUGCUGGGAUGUGAUGGGGAGCGAAAUUUAGUAGCGAA